This 371-nucleotide ribosomal RNA is filed under the name uncultured organism. RNAcentral's name for it is "partial 16S ribosomal RNA". It matches the Rfam family "Bacterial small subunit ribosomal RNA", at positions 527 to 896 of the family's 1533-position model. The record is from RNAcentral.
GUAGGUGGCAAGCGUUGUCCGGAAUUAUUGGGCGUAAAGCGCGCGCAGGCGGUUCUUUAAGUCUGAUGUGAAAGCCCACGGCUCAACCGUGGAGGGUCAUUGGAAACUGGAGAACUUGAGUACAGAAGAGGAAAGCGGAAUUCCACGUGUAGCGGUGAAAUGCGUAGAGAUGUGGAGGAACACCAGUGGCGAAGGCGGCUCUCUGGUCUGUAACUGACGCUGAGGCGCGAAAGCGUGGGGGGAGCAAACAGGAUUAGAUACCCUGGUAGUCCACGCCGUAAACGAUGAGUGCAAGUGUUAGGGGGUUUCCGCCCCUUAGUGCUGCAGCUAACGCAUUAAGCACUCCGCCUGGGAGUACGGCCGCAAGGCUA